This 342-nucleotide ribosomal RNA is filed under the name Triticum aestivum (bread wheat). RNAcentral describes it as "partial small subunit ribosomal RNA". The record is from RNAcentral. Lineage: Eukaryota; Viridiplantae; Streptophyta; Magnoliopsida; Poales; Poaceae.
AUGGUCGAGCUCCACAAGGUGGCCGAACAGGCCAUGAAGGGCCUCAUAGUUCGGCUGUGGCCCAAGGAGGCCAUGCCUGGGAGCUACUUCGGCCUGGUGCGGCGGCUGGUGGAUGCGUGUCCCUGGGUUGAAGUCGUCAAGCACUCCGCCUGCAUUGAAGGUGCCCGUCGGUCCCUUGCCCGUGCAAAGGUGCACUGGGGCAGGAUGGACGCUGAGAAGCUUGUGACGGACGCGCCACCGACGGGCAAGGAGUAUCGCACGCCCGAGAUGUAUUAUAAGAGUGUCCUGAAGGGUGCCCGCAUGAUUGCGGGUGAGUGCUCCAAAGAUGUAAUAUUUGAGUAA